RNAcentral lists this microRNA precursor (105 nucleotides) under Bigelowiella natans CCMP2755. RNAcentral describes it as "miRNA EPrBNAG00000013392". Lineage: Eukaryota; Cercozoa; Chlorarachniophyceae. The record is from RNAcentral.
UAAUAAUGAUGAUGAUGAUGAUGAUGAUGAUGAUGACGAUACAUACGAAGAAGAUGUCAUUUCUAGCCAUAAUCUUCGGCAUCUUUAUCAUCAUCAUCAUCUUGA